Solanum tuberosum (potato) is the source of this 3026-nucleotide RNA transcript. It is a transcript of the gene named syntaxin-71-like, with no coding region annotated. The transcript is spliced from 5 exons. The record is from RefSeq and is a predicted model, not a curated record. NCBI's taxonomy places the organism in Eukaryota, Viridiplantae, Streptophyta, Magnoliopsida, Solanales, Solanaceae.
UUUGCAAGAAGUACAAUAUUUUGGAGCUGGUCUUUGAAGCUGGCAAUGAUUCUUUUGAUUUUUGAAGCUGCUCUUUACACCGCCAUCAAUUCCGACAUUGAAGCCGCUCUUCAGGUUAAAGGGCUUUCAAGCAAAGAAUUUGUUGUAUGUAAUGAUUUGGUACUUGCACUACCCAAUAGGAUAACUGCAAUUUCAGAUGGUGCAGCAGCUACACCCAAACAAUCUGGUGGAUGGGGAGGUUCAGGUUCUCGUGCAGAAAUUAAAUUUGAUUUAGGUUAUAAAAUUGCAUUCGUUCCAAAGGCUUUUCCCCUCCACACUAAUCAUUUAUCCGCUUCAAUGUUAUACAAUUCCUUUAUCGUGAUGAUAUGUUUAUCAUUUCUUUCUAUAUUUGGAAUGGAUACAAAAUGGACAAUUUGAUGAUACUUUCAACAAACUGAAGAAUCAAGUCAAUUCCAACAAGAAUAUGAAUUUUGCAAAAUGUAACAUGCAUGUAUUUUUUUGGAAUAUUUCAUUAAGGUCUUGUUCAUGAUUCUGUUAUGGUCCCUAGUUCUGGAUCGAGUCGUUGGACGAUUAACUGAAAAGUCAGGUCCAAUAGACAGGUCUAAUCCCCUGUUCUUGUUCCUUGACUUGCCUAUGAUUGCUGAAAUUUGCAAUUCAUUCAGGGAAUUGCAGACCUGGGAACUUGUUUGAGAAAGUUCCGAAUCUCUGAAACUUGAUAAAAUCCAACUUAUUUUAUUAAUCAUGUCAACUCUCUUAAGUAGAGGUUUACAAUAGCAAGAGUCCUAAUAAAUUAAAAAUAACAAAGUCCUAUAAAACUAAAAUAAUAAGAAUCCUAAUCCCCUCAGGAAGUUAUGUUCGACUAAAACAACUAGAACAAUAAUUCAGAAAUAUUAAUCAUUCUGGCGUCUGUAAUAUUGUUUCCCGACAAACGCAUCAAUAACAGAUUCAUUGGAAGUUUUUUGCCUUUUAUUACAUCUUAUUGCUGACUUGUUGGUUCCUAAAUACCGAUGUAUGGUUUUGUUUCGACUUCUCAUAGGAUCAAGGUUUGGAGGUCAUAUUAGAAAGUUUUGAUACUUCGAAAAACAUGGUCAGUGAUAUGAAUGAGGUCUGGGAUUCUUUUUGUGUGGUCUGUUUUCCUCCUUCUAUAAUGUGGAUAUUAAUGAUUAUCCAAUCUAUGAAGGAGUUGGAUAGGCAAGUCCUCUGAUGGAUGAGACUGAGUCUAAGAUCGACAAGGCUACAUCUGACCUUAAGAAUACGAAUGUUAGGCUUAAGGGCACGAUUAACCAGGUAAAUUGAGCGUCAACUAUCUUAUGUCAUUCUCCGUAAGUUGAGGCAGUUUGCAGGAUAGUACUUCUAUCUUUUGAUGUUACCAGAUUUAACAAGUCUUUUCCUUUUUCAACUGAGAUCUAGCUGAAACUUCUGACAUCAUUUUGUUGUGCAUAAUUCUUGGAGGUGCGGCCUAUUUGUAUUAGUUAAAGGGCUUUCAAGCAAAGAAUUUGUUGUAUGUAAUGAUUUGGUACUUGCAAUGCCCAAUAGGAUAACUGCAAUUUUAGACGGUGCAGCAGCUACACCCAAACAAUCUGGUGGAUGGGGAGGUUCAGGUUCUCGUGCAGAAAUUAAAUUUGAUUUAGGUUAUAAAAUUGCAUUCGUUCCAAAGGCUUUUCCCCUCCACGCUAAUCAUUUAUCCGCUUCAAUGUUAUACAAUUCCUUUAUCGUGAUGAUAUGUUUAUCAUUUCUUUCUAUUUUUGGAAUGAAUACAAAAUGGACAAUUUGAUGGUGAUUACUUUCAACAAACUGAAGAAUCAAGUUAAUUCCAACAAGAAUAUGAAUUUUGCAAAAUGUAACAUGCAUGCAUUUUUUUGGAAUAUUUCAUGAAGGUCUUGUUCAUGAUUCAUCGGAAGGAUUUUGCCUUUUAUUACAUGUUAUUGCUGGCUUGUUGGUUCCUAAAUACCGAUGUAUGGUUUUGUUUCGACUUCUCAUAGGAUCAAGGUUUGGAGGUCAUAUCAGAAAGUUUUGAUACUUCGCAAAACAUGGUUAGGGAUAUGAAUGAGGUCUGGGAUUCUUUUUGUGUGGUCUGUUUUGCUCCUUCUCUAUUGUGGAUAUUAAUGAUCAUCCAAUCUAUGAAGGAGUUGGAUAGGCAAAUCCUCUGAUGGAUGAGACUGAGACUGAGACUGAUGGAUGAGACUGUGCUAAUUUGCUUUAAUUUGUGGACAGAUUGACAAGGCUACAUCUGACCUUAAGAAUACGAAUGUUAGGCUUAAGGGCACGAUUAACCAGGGAUAUUGCUUAUAUCGGCAAAAUAAAUUGGAGGAGGCUUUAGAGUCCUUGAAAGGGCAAGAAGGAAGUACUGAGUCAAUGCUGUUGGAAUCUCAGAUUUUGUAUCAUUUAGGAAAGAUGGGUGCAUCUGUCGAUAUUUAUCAAAAGCUCCCGAAAUAUUUAAACAUUCUUUGUUCGCAAACAAAGAUCCCACAACUAUUUCAUCCAAUGAAGCAUCUUCUCUCAAAAUCACACCUGACAAAUCGUCUCUUUUACUCCUCGAUCUUUUUCUUUUUUUUGAUACUUUUCUAUUCUGGGCCCUUUUUCUCAAUUUCAUACCAUGAGAUGAUUUUGUUUCCAGAGGUUCAAACUCUGAUAUUGGCUCAACUGGUAUCGAUGUCUCAUCUCUUUCAAUCUGCAUUUCCUCUUGUUGUACAAUAUUGACUGCGGACAAAGAAUUUUUUUCCGCAAUAUCAACAAUGAAACGGGAAGUCUUGAAAUUUGGAUCAUUUUCAACAAGUAAAUGCAAGUAGUAACUUCCUCAUCAUUUGUUACUUGCAUUCCUUUGCUUGUUUCUAGAUUCGAGUCAAACCAAAUAUUUGCUUUAAUCUCACCCACUUUCAGUUUUAGACCUGAAAAAUCUUCUCGGCAAGACCUUCAAAUGUUAUCCCAUCAUUCACAAGAAUUAGCUUGAUCUCACGAUCCAAAUACUUGUUAUCUGUAGUCCAUUUGCCAUUGUAAGCAAUAUAUAUGCAAACCCUAUCCAUCCU